UGCUUCUAAUAGCCUUCACUGGUCUCCGUCCAGAGCAACGGGGUCUAUUGGUCCAUUAUAUACUGUCUAUGGGGAGAACAGGGGCGAAAGUAACACGGGACAAAAGCUUAUAUACUGUCUAUGGACGAAAGUAACAAAGCGAUUUUCUCUGAGCCCUGACUACAUUUGCAUUUCAAGCUAUGACAGCACUUUCAGCACGCAGCCAGUGACGGAGCCGCAAAAUAUCACGCGAUUUCAUCAUUGUUUACCGCUGUUAUGUCCUGAAAGCUGUUUUCGAGUACGAUUAUGCCAAGAGUGAGGGUCAGAAAGACAGACAGAGGUCUGAUUCAGCCAGAUGUGUAUGAGAGGGCGUUUCUGGACAUAUCUGUAAGACACAUUAGUCUUAGGGCAGCUGCAAAGUCGCAUGGCAUUUGCCAUGUCACUUUGCUCCGAUACUGCAGGAGGAGGGCAGAGAACAGCAGGGAGAAGACUAGACCACCAGGGUACAGGUCACACACACCAAAGUCUUCUCUGUGGACCAAGAGAGGAAGCUGGAGGCUUAUAUUAAGAGGGCAGCUGAUUAUAUUUUGGCCUGUCUCCUAAGGAGGUCAACGGCGAUCCUCACUGACUCUCCGGUGAGGGCAGCUCUGGAGGAGGAGCAACAGAAGAGGAUCCAGAAGAAGAAGCCGCCUGCUCCAAAGAAAAGGUUCCUCACGGUCGAAAACACUGCACCCACAGUUUCCUCGGACAAGGAUGAGGAAUGUCUUGUGUGUGACGAAACAUCAGCUCAUCCUUGCCUGGGGAAGUGUGGGUUCAGUGUCUCUUUUGCCAGCUCUGGUCACAUGAGGCAUGCACUGAGGGUGCAGAACAUUAUAUCUGUCACAACUGUGACAAUGAGUAGACUAAUGCCUUUUUAAUGUUCCUUUUUGUUUGUUUACAUAAGUCAGGUUUCCAUCAAAGUUAUGGUGGCAUCCCUUUGCUGUUUUUGUUUCUAGGUUUCACUAGAGGAACAUUGAGGAACAGCUGAUUUCGGUAGGUCACCCUCACAUUUUAUCCAUCACAUUUAGGUUAGCCAUACCUUAGCUUUUCCACCUCCACCUAUGAAUUUUUUGUUUCCAUCCAGAUGUUUUUAUGCACAUUUUGAAUUUACACAUAAAAACAUGACUACUGAUAGAUUAUUUUGAGAUUCUAUGCUAAUUUAGUUAAAUUUUCAUAUUGUUCAUACUGUUGAAUGUUUUAUAA
Long non-coding RNA from Perca flavescens (yellow perch), 1221 nucleotides. RefSeq lists it as uncharacterized. NCBI's taxonomy places the organism in Eukaryota, Metazoa, Chordata, Actinopteri, Perciformes, Percidae. The transcript has 3 exons. The record is from RefSeq and is a predicted model, not a curated record.